GUCUGGCCUGCUCACUGAUAAUAUUAAAGAGCCGCGGUAUUUUGACCGUGCAAAGGUAGCAUAAUCAUUAGUCUCUUAAUUAGAGGCUGGAAUGAAUGGCUUGACGAGAAAUCAACUGUCUCUUAAUAAAUUAUAUAAUUUAACUUUUAAGUCAAAAGGCUUAAAUUUUUCUUUAGGACGAGAAGACCCUAUAGAUCUUGACAUUUUAUUUAUAUAUAUAUUUAAGGUAGUCUUUUUAUAUUUAAUGAAAAUGUUUUGUUGGGGUGACAUGAAGAAUAAAUAAACUCUUCAUUAUUAAAUCAUUAAUUUAUGUUUAUUUUGAUCCAUAAUUUAUGAUCAUAAGAUUAAGUUACCUUAGGGAUAACAGCGUAAUUGUUUUUGAGAGCUCAUAUCGACAAAGCAGAUUGCGACCUCGAUGUUGGAUUAAGAAAAGUUUUGGGUGCAGUAGCCCAGUAAUUAGGUCUGUUCGACCUUUAAAUUCUU
Molecule: ribosomal RNA, 483 nt
Filed under: Amphitornus coloradus
Lineage: Eukaryota; Metazoa; Arthropoda; Insecta; Orthoptera; Acrididae
Description: partial 16S ribosomal RNA
Rfam family: Archaeal large subunit ribosomal RNA
Source: RNAcentral